GUGCCAGCCGCCGCGGUAAUACGUAGGGGCCCAGCGUUGUCCGGAUUCAUUGGGCGUAAAGCGCGCGCAGGCGGCCCGGUGUGCCGCCCGUGAAAUCCCCCGGCUCAACCGGGGGGGGUCGGGCGGGACUGCCGGGCUGGAGGCGGGUAGGGGAGAGCGGAAUUCCCGGUGUAGUGGUGGAAUGCGUAGAGAUCGGGAGGAACACCAGUGGCGAAGGCGGCUCUCUGGACCCUUGCCUGACGCUGAGGCGCGAAAGCGUGGGGAGCGAUCCGGAUUAGAAACCCGCGUAGUCC
This 293-nucleotide ribosomal RNA is filed under the name uncultured bacterium. Its description in RNAcentral is "partial 16S ribosomal RNA". It matches the Rfam family "Bacterial small subunit ribosomal RNA", at positions 505 to 796 of the family's 1533-position model. The record is from RNAcentral.